GUUGGAGGGGGAUAAUCGGGAGAAAUCCCGUCUAAUACCGCGUAACGCCGCGGGGCUGCAUGGCCCUGCGGCCAAAGGAAGCGAUUCCGGCAACGGAUGGGCAUGCGUGACAUUAGCUAGUUGGCGGGGCAACGGCCCACCAAGGCGACGAUGUCUAGGGGUUCUGAGAGGAAGGUCCCCCACACUGGUACUGAGACACGGACCAGACUCCUACGGGAGGCAGCAGUGAGGAAUAUUGGUCAAUGGGCGCGAGCCUGAACCAGCCAAGUCGCGUGAGGGAUGACGGCCCUACGGGUUGUAAACCUCUUUUGUCGGGGAGCAAAUUCCGCCACGUGUGGCGGAGUCGAGAGUACCCGAAGAAAAAGCAUCGGCUAACUCCGUGCCAGCAGCCGCGGUAAUACGGAGGAUGCGAGCGUUAUCCGGAUUUAUUGGGUUUAAAGGGUGCGUAGGCGGACUGUCAAGUCAGCGGUAAAAUACGGGGGCUCAACCUCCGCCCGCCGUUGAAACUGACGGUCUUGAGUGGGCGAGAAGUAUGCGGAAUGCGUGGUGUAGCGGUGAAAUGCAUAGAUAUCACGCAGAACUCCGAUUGCGAAGGCAGCAUACCGGCGCCCAACUGACGCUGAAGCACGAAAGCGUGGGUAUCGAACAGGAUUAGAUACCCUGGUAGUCCACGCAGUAAACGAUGAAUA
RNAcentral lists this ribosomal RNA (689 nucleotides) under uncultured bacterium. RNAcentral's name for it is "bacterial SSU rRNA". It matches the Rfam family "Bacterial small subunit ribosomal RNA", at positions 132 to 815 of the family's 1533-position model. The record is from RNAcentral.